Long non-coding RNA from Mytilus californianus (California mussel), 590 nucleotides. RefSeq lists it as uncharacterized. Lineage: Eukaryota; Metazoa; Mollusca; Bivalvia; Mytilida; Mytilidae. The record is from RefSeq and is a predicted model, not a curated record. The transcript is spliced from 3 exons.
AACCACCGACGGUAGGUAUGGACAAAUACUGUAUAAAGACUGUGUAUAGGGGUACUGUAUUGUAUGGUAACCACCGACGGUAGGUAUGGACAAAUAAUGUAUAUAGACUGUGUAUAGGAGUACUGUAUUGUAUGGUAACCACCGACAGUAGGUAUGGAUAAAUACUGUAUAUAGACUGUGUAUAGGAGAACUGUAUUGUAUGGUAACCAUCGACAGUAAGCAUGGACAAAUACUGUAUAUAGAAUGUGUAUAGUACUGUAUUGUAUGGUAACCACCGACGGUAGGUAUGGACAAAUACUGUAUAUAGACUGUGUAUAGGAGUACUGUAUUGUAUGGUAACCACCAACGGUAGGUAUGGACAAAUACUGUAUAUAGACUGUGUGUAAGAGUACUGUAUUGUAUGGUAACCAUCAACGGUAGGUAUGGACAAAUACUGUAUAUAGACUGUGUGUAAGAGUACUGUAUUGUAUGGUAACCAUCAACGGUAGGUAUGGACAAAUACUGUUGAUAGACUGUGUGUAGGAGUAAUGUAUUGUAUGGUAACCACCGACUGUACAUGUAGGUAUGGACAAAUACUGUAUAAAGACUGU